UCAGAUGGUCGGAUGGUCGCUGUUUCGGCAGAGGAAAGUCCGGGCUCUAGAAAACUACGGUGCCGGAUAACGUCCGGCGAGGGUGACCUCAGGGAAAGUGCCACAGAAAAUACACCGCCUCAUAUUAAGGUAAGGGUGAAAUGGUAGGGUAAGAGC
Molecule: RNase P RNA, 156 nt
Filed under: Alphaproteobacteria bacterium
Lineage: Bacteria; Pseudomonadati; Pseudomonadota; Alphaproteobacteria
Description: partial RNase P RNA component class A
Rfam family: Bacterial RNase P class A
About the family: Ribonuclease P (RNase P) is a ubiquitous endoribonuclease, found in archaea, bacteria and eukarya as well as chloroplasts and mitochondria. Its best characterised activity is the generation of mature 5'-ends of tRNAs by cleaving the 5'-leader elements of precursor-tRNAs.
Source: RNAcentral